Molecule: non-coding RNA, 812 nt
Organism: Phoenix dactylifera (date palm)
Lineage: Eukaryota; Viridiplantae; Streptophyta; Magnoliopsida; Arecales; Arecaceae
Source: RefSeq, a predicted model, not a curated record
UAUAAAAAUCUUUUCCUUCCAUCCCACUCUCUCUAUUCCCAAAAUAUCACAAAGUAUUCUCUCCCUCUCUUUUCUCUUUUUUUUUUAUUUUUUUCGUGGGAACUUGGCUUCUCCCCUGUUCUCCCAGGAUGCUCCGCCGACUCCCUUCGGUGAGGAAGAAGGGAUAAAGGGAGCAGCCCCCUCCCCUGGUGGGGAAGAGGAGGAAUGCCCCCCGGUGGGGGAAGAGGGAAUGAAUGCUCCUCUGUUCAUGCUUGACUCCUUUUAUAGGCUGCCCACCUCCAUCUCUCCUCCUCCCUAUUUUCCUUCGAGAUAAGGAUAGAUUAAAGUGGGAUAAGGCUGCGAGAUCUCUGCGUUGUAGAUGCUGGCUUUUGUCCCGAUCACUUGAACAACCUGUGAGGAUAAGCUUUGAUUUCGUUUUCUUGUAACAGAGGAUCCGGCAAAGAUGAAUUGGCUGGGAGCUUAUCCACCGAGAAGAAUGCGGGGAUUUGUUCUUUGGAUGGCUGGUUGUAGACAAGAGGAUGAUGCUGAUUUGUAACCGGGAUAAGAUUUGUUCCGUUGGGAACAGAGGAGCUGGUAGCAGGGGAUAGCGGGGUUGCAUGAUUGAUGCAUACGGCUGAAGAUGCGGAGAGGAUGAGCUUAAUCCAUGGGCGAUGGAAUUCUAUUCCGAAUGGGAUAAGAUCUAGGAAGAUGAUGCGGAUGCUGGGGAGAUUGGUUUUGCAUCGCGGAAGGAGUUGGGAAAGAUGCGGAUUGGCUCACGGAAAGCUGGAGACGUUGUGAAGAUACGAUGGGAAGAGGAUGAGGAUGGAUUGGUU